Podarcis lilfordi (Lilford's wall lizard) is the source of this 69-nucleotide non-coding RNA. The record is from the annotation of a GenBank genome assembly. Lineage: Eukaryota; Metazoa; Chordata; Lepidosauria; Squamata; Lacertidae.
GCUGUAGGCCAGCGGUAGGGCACCUGCCUUGCAUUCAGAAGGUCCCAGGUUCAAUCCCUGGCAUCUCCA